Molecule: ribosomal RNA, 436 nt
Filed under: uncultured bacterium
Lineage: Bacteria
Description: partial 16S ribosomal RNA
Rfam family: Bacterial small subunit ribosomal RNA
Source: RNAcentral
AGCGAACGCUGGCGGCAGGCUUAACACAUGCAAGUCGAGCGGGCAUCCUUGUGGUGUCAGCGGCAGACGGGUGAGUAACGCGUGGGAACGUGCCCUUCGGUUCGGAAUAACUCAGGGAAACUUGAGCUAAUACCGGAUACGUGCGAGAGCAGAAAGGUUUAUCUGCCGAAGGAUCGGCCCGCGUCUGAUUAGCUAGUUGGUGAGGUUACGGCUCACCAAGGCGACGAUCAGUAGCUGGUCUGAGAGGAUGAUCAGCCACACUGGGACUGAGACACGGCCCAGACUCCUACGGGAGGCAGCAGUGGGGAAUUUUGGACAAUGGGGGCAACCCUGAUCCAGCCAUGCCGGGUGAGUGAUGACGGCCUUAGGGUUGUAAAGCUCUUUUCUCCGGGACGAUAAUGACGGUACCGGGGGAAUAAGCCCCGGCUAACUUCGU